UACGUAGGGUGCGAGCGUUGUCCGGAAUCAUUGGGCGUAAAGAGCGCGUAGGCGGCUGGAAUAGUCCGGUGUGAAAUCCACAGGCUUAACCUGUGAAUGCCGCUGGAAACUGUCUGGCUAGAGUCCGGAAGGGGCGAGUGGAAUUCCUGGUGUAGCGGUGAAAUGCGCAGAUAUCAGGAGGAACACCAGCGGCGAAGGCGGCGCUCUGGGCCGGAACUGACGCUGAGGAGCGAAAGCGUGGGUAGCAAACAGG
RNAcentral lists this ribosomal RNA (253 nucleotides) under uncultured bacterium. Its description in RNAcentral is "partial 16S ribosomal RNA". It matches the Rfam family "Bacterial small subunit ribosomal RNA", at positions 524 to 776 of the family's 1533-position model. The record is from RNAcentral.